RNAcentral lists this small nuclear RNA (22 nucleotides) under Arabidopsis thaliana (thale cress). Its description in RNAcentral is "snRNA_07384". The record is from RNAcentral. Lineage: Eukaryota; Viridiplantae; Streptophyta; Magnoliopsida; Brassicales; Brassicaceae.
GCAGCCCCAAUCGGGCGGUAAA